GUUAUAUGGUCAAGUGAAGAAGCGCAUACGGUGGAUGCCUUGGCAGUCAGAGGCGAUGAAAGACGUGGUAGCCUGCGAAAAGCUUCGGGGAGUCGGCAAACAGACUGUGAUCCGGAGAUGUCUGAAUGGGGGAACCCAGCCAUCAUAAGAUGGUUAUCUUACACUGAAUACAUAGGUGUAAGAGGCGAACCAGGGGAACUGAAACAUCUAAGUACCCUGAGGAAAAGAAAUCAACCGAGAUUCCCUUAGUAGUGGCGAGCGAACGGGGACCAGCCCUUAAGUUGUAUUGAGAUUAGCGGAACGUUCUGGAAAGGACGGCCAUAGUGGGUGAUAGCCCUGUACGCGAAAAUCCCUUUGCAAUGAAAUCGAGUAGGACGGGGCACGAGAAACCUUGUCUGAAUAUGGGGGGACCAUCCUCCAAGGCUAAAUACUACUGACUGACCGAUAGUGAACCAGUACCGUGAGGGAAAGGCGAAAAGAACCGCGGAGAGCGGAGUGAAAUAGAUCCUGAAACCGUAUGCGUACAAGCAGUGGGAGCCCACUUUGUUGGGUGACUGCGUACCUUUUGUAUAAUGGGUCAGCGACUUAUUUUCAGUGGCGAGCUUAACCGAAUAGGGGAGGCGUAGCGAAAGCGAGUCUUAAUAGGGCGUCUAGUCGCUGGGAAUAGACCCGAAACCGGGCGAUCUAUCCAUGGGCAGGUUGAAGGUUGGGUAACACUAACUGGAGGACCGAACCGACUACCGUUGAAAAGUUAGCGGAUGACCUGUGGAUCGGAGUGAAAGGCUAAUCAAGCUCGGAGAUAGCUGGUUCUCCUCGAAAGCUAUUUAGGUAGCGCCUCAUGUAUCACUGUAGGGGGUAGAGCACUGUUUCGGCUAGGGGGUCAUCCCGACUUACCAAACCGAUGCAAACUCCGAAUACCUACAAGUGCCGAGCAUGGGAGACACACGGCGGGUGCUAACGUCCGUCGUGAAAAGGGAAACAACCCAGACCGUCAGCUAAGGUCCCAAAGUCAUGGUUAAGUGGGAAACGAUGUGGGAAGGCUUAGACAGCUAGGAGGUUGGCUUAGAAGCAGCCACCCUUUAAAGAAAGCGUAAUAGCUCACUAGUCGAGUCGGCCUGCGCGGAAGAUGUAACGGGGCUCAAACCAUGCACCGAAGCUACGGGUAUCAUCUUUUGAUGAUGCGGUAGAGGAGCGUUCUGUAAGCCUGUGAAGGUGAGUUGAGAAGCUUGCUGGAGGUAUCAGAAGUGCGAAUGCUGACAUGAGUAACGACAAUGGGUGUGAAAAACACCCACGCCGAAAGACCAAGGUUUCCUGCGCAACGUUAAUCGACGCAGGGUUAGUCGGUCCCUAAGGCGAGGCUGAAAAGCGUAGUCGAUGGAAAACAGGUUAAUAUUCCUGUACUUCUGGUUAUUGCGAUGGAGGGACGGAGAAGGCUAGGCCAGCCUGGCGUUGGUAGUCCAGGUUUAAGGUGGUAGGCUGAGAUCUUAGGUAAAUCCGGGAUCUUAAGGCCGAGAGCUGAUGACGAGUGUUCUUUUAGAACAUGAAGUGGUUGAUGCCAUGCUUCCAAGAAAAGCUUCUAAGCUUCAGGUAACCAGGAACCGUACCCCAAACCGACACAGGUGGUUGGGUAGAGAAUACCAAGGCGCUUGAGAGAACUCGGGUGAAGGAACUAGGCAAAAUGGCACCGUAACUUCGGGAGAAGGUGCGCCGGUGAGGGUGAAGCAUUUACUGCGUAAGCCCACGCCGGUCGAAGAUACCAGGCCGCUGCGACUGUUUAUUAAAAACACAGCACUCUGCAAACACGAAAGUGGACGUAUAGGGUGUGACGCCUGCCCGGUGCCGGAAGGUUAAUUGAUGGGGUUAGCGCAAGCGAAGCUCUUGAUCGAAGCCCCGGUAAACGGCGGCCGUAACUAUAACGGUCCUAAGGUAGCGAAAUUCCUUGUCGGGUAAGUUCCGACCUGCACGAAUGGCGUAACGAUGGCGGCGCUGUCUCCACCCGAGACUCAGUGAAAUUGAAAUCGCUGUGAAGAUGCAGUGUAUCCGCGGCUAGACGGAAAGACCCCGUGAACCUUUACUAUAGCUUUGCACUGGACUUUGAAUUUGCUUGUGUAGGAUAGGUGGGAGGCUUUGAAGCGUGGACGCCAGUCUGCGUGGAGCCAACCUUGAAAUACCACCCUGGCAACUUUGAGGUUCUAACUCAGGUCCGUUAUCCGGAUCGAGGACAGUGUAUGGUGGGUAGUUUGACUGGGGCGGUCUCCUCCUAAAGAGUAACGGAGGAGUACGAAGGUGCGCUCAGACCGGUCGGAAAUCGGUCGUAGAGUAUAAAGGCAAAAGCGCGCUUGACUGCGAGACAGACACGUCGAGCAGGUACGAAAGUAGGUCUUAGUGAUCCGGUGGUUCUGUAUGGAAGGGCCAUCGCUCAACGGAUAAAAGGUACUCCGGGGAUAACAGGCUGAUACCGCCCAAGAGUUCAUAUCGACGGCGGUGUUUGGCACCUCGAUGUCGGCUCAUCACAUCCUGGGGCUGAAGCCGGUCCCAAGGGUAUGGCUGUUCGCCAUUUAAAGUGGUACGCGAGCUGGGUUUAGAACGUCGUGAGACAGUUCGGUCCCUAUCUGCCGUGGACGUUUGAGAUUUGAGAGGGGCUGCUCCUAGUACGAGAGGACCGGAGUGGACGAACCUCUGGUGUUCCGGUUGUCACGCCAGUGGCAUUGCCGGGUAGCUAUGUUCGGAAAAGAUAACCGCUGAAAGCAUCUAAGCGGGAAACUUGCCUCAAGAUGAGAUCUCACUGGAACCUUGAGUUCCCUAAAGGGCCGUCGAAGACUACGACGUUGAUAGGUUGGGUGUGUAAGCGCUGUGAGGCGUUGAGCUAACCAAUACUAAUUGCCCGUGAGGCUUGACCAUAUAACACCCAAGCAAUU
RNAcentral lists this ribosomal RNA (2918 nucleotides) under Pseudomonas syringae CC1557. Its description in RNAcentral is "bacterial LSU rRNA". It matches the Rfam family "Bacterial large subunit ribosomal RNA". Lineage: Bacteria; Pseudomonadati; Pseudomonadota; Gammaproteobacteria; Pseudomonadales; Pseudomonadaceae. The record is from RNAcentral.